RNAcentral lists this ribosomal RNA (696 nucleotides) under uncultured bacterium. RNAcentral describes it as "bacterial SSU rRNA". It matches the Rfam family "Bacterial small subunit ribosomal RNA", at positions 32 to 715 of the family's 1533-position model. The record is from RNAcentral.
AACGCUAGCUACAGGCUUAACACAUGCAAGUCGAGGGGAAACGACAUCGAAAGCUUGCUUUUGAUGGGCGUCGACCGGCGCACGGGUGAGUAACGCGUAUCCAACCUGCCCACCACUUGGGGAUAACCUUGCGAAAGUAAGACUAAUACCCAAUGACGUCUCUAGAAGACAUCUGAAAGAGAUUAAAGAUUUAUCGGUGAUGGAUGGGGAUGCGUCUGAUUAGCUUGUUGGCGGGGUAACGGCCCACCAAGGCAACGAUCAGUAGGGGUUCUGAGAGGAAGGUCCCCCACAUUGGAACUGAGACACGGUCCAAACUCCUACGGGAGGCAGCAGUGAGGAAUAUUGGUCAAUGGACGAGAGUCUGAACCAGCCAAGUAGCGUGAAGGAUGAAGGUCCUACGGAUUGUAAACUUCUUUUAUAAGGGAAUAAAUCCUCCCACGUGUGGGAGCUUGUAUAUACCUUAUGAAUAAGCAUCGGCUAACUCCGUGCCAGCAGCCGCGGUAAUACGGAGGAUGCGAGCGUUAUCCGGAUUUAUUGGGUUUAAAGGGAGCGCAGACGGGUCGUUAAGUCAGCUGUGAAAGUUUGGGGCUCAACCUUAAAAUUGCAGUUGAUACUGGCGUCCUUGAGUGCGGUUGANGUGUGCGGAAUUCNCGGUGUANCGGUGAAAUGCUUANAUUUCACGAAGAACUCCGAUUG